UACGGAGGGUGCGAGCGUUAAUCGGAAUUACUGGGCGUAAAGGGCGCGUAGGUGGUCUGGUAAGUCGGAUGUGAAAGCCCCGGGCUCAACUCGGGAACUGCAUUCGAUACUGCUUGGCUAGAGUACGGUAGAGGGAAGCGGAAUUCCCGGUGUAGCGGUGAGAUGCGUAGAUAUCGGGAGGAACACCAGUGGCGAAGGCGGCUUCCUGGAUCGAUACUGACACUGAGGAGCGAAAGCGUGGGGAGCAAACAGG
Molecule: ribosomal RNA, 253 nt
Filed under: uncultured bacterium
Lineage: Bacteria
Description: partial 16S ribosomal RNA
Rfam family: Bacterial small subunit ribosomal RNA
Source: RNAcentral